This 117-nucleotide non-coding RNA is filed under the name Firmicutes bacterium ASF500. Its description in RNAcentral is "FMN riboswitch aptamer (RFN element)". It matches the Rfam family "FMN riboswitch aptamer (RFN element)". Rfam says of the family: The RFN element is a highly conserved domain that is found frequently in the 5'-untranslated regions of prokaryotic mRNAs that encode for flavin mononucleotide (FMN) biosynthesis and transport proteins. This element is a metabolite-dependent riboswitch that directly binds FMN in the absence of proteins. Lineage: Bacteria; Bacillati; Bacillota. RNAcentral also lists the same sequence under 1 other name. The record is from Rfam by way of RNAcentral.
UAAUGUCUUCAGGGCAGGGUGAAAUUCCCGAUCGGCGGUAAAGUCCGCGAGCGCGAAAGCGCUGAUUUGGCGCGAUUCCAAAACCGACAGUAUAGUCUGGAUUUGAAGAAGGUGUGU